Molecule: ribosomal RNA, 254 nt
Filed under: uncultured prokaryote
Description: partial 16S ribosomal RNA
Rfam family: Bacterial small subunit ribosomal RNA
Source: RNAcentral
UACGUAGGUGGCAAGCGUUGUUCGGAUUUACUGGGCGUAAAGGGCGCGUAGGCGGUCAGCACAAGUCAGUUGUGAAAUCUCCGGGCUUAACUCGGAAAGGUCAACUGAUACUGUGCGACUAGAGUGCAGAAGGGGCAACUGGAAUUCUCGGUGUAGCGGUGGAAUGCGCAGAUAUCAGGAGGAACACCGAUGGCGAAGGCAGGUCACUGGGCCGCAACUGACGCUGAGGAGCGAAAGCAUGGGGAGCGAACAGG